UUUUUAAUUUGUAUACCUCCAGUGCCUUGCAUCACAUGGCUUUUUCAAAAAUGAAUGUGAAAAAGGGGGAUGGGGAAUGGAUUAAAACAAAAUCCAUACAGUGUUAUGGUAUGUUCUUCAAGGAAACAUGUAUCUAUAUAGGUUAAUAUCAUGGUAAUUUGAAACAACAGUAGGUCAUUUAACUGCCUUCAACAAUGAGCAAAAACAAUACUGUUUAGUAAGGUAUAAAAUGCCAUUACCAAGGCAUUAAAAAUUG
Molecule: long non-coding RNA, 256 nt
Filed under: Mytilus galloprovincialis (Mediterranean mussel)
Lineage: Eukaryota; Metazoa; Mollusca; Bivalvia; Mytilida; Mytilidae
Source: RNAcentral